Molecule: ribosomal RNA, 253 nt
Filed under: uncultured bacterium
Lineage: Bacteria
Description: partial 16S ribosomal RNA
Rfam family: Bacterial small subunit ribosomal RNA
Source: RNAcentral
UACGUAGGGCGCAAGCGUUGUCCGGAUUCACUGGGUGUAAAGGGUGCGUAGGCGGGAGAGUAAGUCCGCGGUGAAAUCUCACGGCUCAACCGUGAAACUGCCGUUGAUACUGCUUUUCUUGAGUUCGGGAGAGGUUGAUGGAAUUCCAGGUGUAGCGGUGAAAUGCGUAGAUAUCAGGAGGAACACCGGCGGUGUAGACGGCUUUCUGGACCGUAGCUGACGCUGAGACACGAAAGCGUGGGUAGCAAACAGG